AAGUGUUGGUGGGACAAAUCUGUUGUCCCCUUGAUGUCAAAAUCCAAUUUCAAUCUUUACAGAAGAUACUUUUGAUGUGUUUAUGCUGCAAAGAAGAAGGUAGUUUUCUUGUUUUUUUUCAUGAUUAGUUCCAGAAAUAUGUUAAGGUCGAUUUUGAUGGUUGAGUAUGUGUAAUGCUUUUUAGCUAGAGAAUGAUAAGCAUACAUUCAAGUUGAUUGAUGAGGCAAUAUUAGACAAAACAGAAGCACUAGAAUGCAAAAAUAUGAGAAUUGAGAAAGAGUUGAAAGAGAUUGCAAGAUAGAUUUUGGUGUUUGAGAAGGUGAAAAUCUGACCAUGUACUAAAAACCGAAAACAAACAUGUUAAACAUAUAAAAACUCAUGCAUUUAGUUUCAUUUAUCAACAAUAAGCAUAUACUUACUUUUGACGAUGAGACACCAAAAUAAAUCCAGAGCCAUCAUUAAGUGCUAAGUCUCCUUUAUCAUUG
Molecule: long non-coding RNA, 485 nt
Filed under: Brassica napus (rape)
Lineage: Eukaryota; Viridiplantae; Streptophyta; Magnoliopsida; Brassicales; Brassicaceae
Description: long non-coding RNA (BNAP_LNC023307)
Source: RNAcentral